UAGGGAAUCUUCCGCAAUAGACGCAAGUCUGACGGAGCAACGCCGCGUGAGUGAAGAAGGAUUUCGGUUCGUAAAACUCUGUUGUUAGAGAAGAACAGCGCAUAGAGUAACUGUUAUGCGUGUGACGGUAUCUAACCAGAAAGCCACGGCUAACUACGUGCCAGCAGCCGCGGUAAUACGUAGGUGGCAAGCGUUGUCCGGAUUUAUUGGGCGUAAAGCGAGCGCAGGCGGUCAAUUAAGUCUGAUGUGAAAGCCCCCGGCUCAACCGGGGAGGGUCAUUGGAAACUGGUUGACUUGAGUGCAGAAGAGGAGAGUGGAAUUCCAUGUGUAGCGGUGAAAUGCGUAGAUAUAUGGAGGAACACCAGUGGCGAAGGCGACUCUCUGGUCUGUAACUGACGCUGAGGCUCGAAAGCGUGGGUAGCAAACAGG
RNAcentral lists this ribosomal RNA (429 nucleotides) under Bacteroidota bacterium. RNAcentral's name for it is "Bacteroidetes bacterium partial 16S ribosomal RNA". It matches the Rfam family "Bacterial small subunit ribosomal RNA", at positions 355 to 776 of the family's 1533-position model. Lineage: Bacteria; Pseudomonadati; Bacteroidota. The record is from RNAcentral.